Ictalurus punctatus (channel catfish) is the source of this 889-nucleotide long non-coding RNA. NCBI's taxonomy places the organism in Eukaryota, Metazoa, Chordata, Actinopteri, Siluriformes, Ictaluridae. The record is from Ensembl.
AAAGUGUAUACAUGUAUGUAGAAGGGGUUUUAGAAGGUGCAUAAACGUGCGUGGACGGUGUGUAAAGGUGCGUGGACGGUGUGUGGACGGUGUGUAAAGGUGCGUGGAUGUGUGUGGACGGUGUGUAAAGGUACGUGGACGGUGUGUGACGGUGUGUAAAGGUGCGUGGACGGUGUGUAAAGGUGCGUGGACGGUGUGUGGACGGUGUGUAAAGGUGCGUGGACGGUGUGUGGACGGUGUGUAAAGGUGCGUGGACGGUGUGUAAAGGUGCGUGGACGGUGUGUAAAGGUGCGUGGACGGUGUGUAAAGGUGCGUGGACGGUGUGUAAAGGUGCGUGGACGGUGUGUGGACGGUGUGUAAAGGUGCGUGGACGGUUUGUAAAGGUGUGCAGGUGUGUAAAUGUGUAUAAAGGUGUGUAGAAGGUGUGUACAUGAGAGGAUGUAUGGGUCACGGGUCUCUUGGCUAACAGUGAGACGGUGGUGUAUAAUAGCAGCAUGGGAGCGAGAGGUGAGCUAACAGCAUUUUGAGUCUGCAGGAAGAAGAGAGUGAUGCAAUUAGAGAGAAAUGAUGAGGCAAAAGACGAGAGAAAACGGAAAGAGCAAUGCUGCUACAGCUCCCGAUCAGAUGGGAUGAAGAGGAAUAAAAUACGAGACGGCAGAUCAUUAGCGGAUCAUCAUCCAGCAGUUAAUGACGCAAUCAGGUUUAAUAACAAUCACAUAGCCAAAUAAGGAGGAAGCCUGCCGUGAACAUCUACACAACAGAAGAGUGAACAACAUCUACACAACAGGAGAGUGAACAACAUCUACACAACAGGAGAGUGAACAACAUCUACACAACAGAAGAGUAAACAACAUCUACACAACAGAAGAUGGGACAACAUCUACACAAC